Long non-coding RNA from Syngnathus acus (greater pipefish), 533 nucleotides. RefSeq lists it as uncharacterized. The transcript is spliced from 2 exons. NCBI's taxonomy places the organism in Eukaryota, Metazoa, Chordata, Actinopteri, Syngnathiformes, Syngnathidae. The record is from RefSeq and is a predicted model, not a curated record.
AAGUACCUGCUCGCAGCAGAAGCUGAGGACCAGAGCAAAGCUGCAUACUAGCAGCACUUUGUUUUUCUUGUUACUUAUUCAGCUCUAAGGCAACCUGAGAAGCAGCAAGGAACAAAAUCAACUUCCUGGGUCAUGCUGCAAGGAACAAAAUCAGCUUCCUGGUCAUGCAGCUUGCAAUACUCGGUGCCAUGAACAAUUCUACUUGCGCACUGGUACGUUUCAUGCCAAAACAUUUUCUGCACAAAACGUUGACUUAACUUUUUACUUACCAAUCUCUGUCUCAGGUCCAGGCAUGGAGUACCACUCGUCCCACUGGCCGACCACUCCACCACUCGUCCCACUGGCCGACCACUCCACCACUCGUCCCUCUGGCCGACCACUCCACCACUCGUCCCUCUGGCCGACCACUCCACCACUCGUCCCUCUGGCCGACCACUCCACCACUCUGCAACGAGCAGACUGCCAUCCAACUUGUUACUUUGUUGUGAUUGAAUGUUUACUCUGCAAAAGAAAUAAAGCUUUUUUACAAAUAA